GAUGAACGCUGGCGGCGUGCCUAAUACAUGCAAGUCGAGCGAACAGACGAGGAGCUUGCUCCUUUGACGUUAGCGGCGGACGGGUGAGUAACACGUAGGUAACCUACCUAUAAGACUGGGAUAACUUCGGGAAACCGGAGCUAAUACCGGAUAAUAUUUCGAACCGCAUGGUUCGAUAGUGAAAGAUGGCUUUGCUAUCACUUAUAGAUGGACCUGCGCCGUAUUAGCUAGUUGGUAAGGUAACGGCUUACCAAGGCAACGAUACGUAGCCGACCUGAGAGGGUGAUCGGCCACACUGGAACUGAGACACGGUCCAGACUCCUACGGGAGGCAGCAGUAGGGAAUCUUCCGCAAUGGGCGAAAGCCUGACGGAGCAACGCCGCGUGAGUGAUGAAGGUCUUCGGAUCGUAAAACUCUUUUAUUAGGGAAGAACAAACGUGUAAGUAACUGUGCACGUCUUGACGUUACCUAAUCAGAAAGCCACGGCUAACUACGUG
Molecule: ribosomal RNA, 497 nt
Filed under: uncultured bacterium
Lineage: Bacteria
Description: partial 16S ribosomal RNA
Rfam family: Bacterial small subunit ribosomal RNA
Source: RNAcentral